GUUUGUACACAUCCUAAACUGCUGCUGCAUGGUCUGGUGUGAGUCCUGAGACUGGAAGAGCCAGCUGCAUAAAAGACACUUUAUAGGCCUUUGCUGUACAGGACCACACUUCACAUGUGACAGACUCAGAAAAGGCAAGUGUUGGAGCUCUGGAUGUGCUGUAACUGCAGGGAGAUUGUGCCUUCUUACAACUGGCUCAGCUACUGAGCUGAAACAUAUGGAUCCAAACCUUGCUCUGCAGCAGCUUCCAGGAGUGUUCAUCACUAAGACAGCACAACUGCAGGGCAAAAAGGCAAACCCAAAACUGAUCACUGCUACAGAGCCAUAAAGACAAGGAAGGAAGAUGUGAUAUGGGGACCUGUAGCAGGGAGGAAACUGCAGAAUUUAGGCAAGAGCAGUGCCCAGAGGAGAUGCAGAGGAAAGCAAUUUUGGUCCAAAUAGCAAACUUUGGAGUAUUUAUGGUUCUGAGUUGGGAGCUGAACGUUAUAAACACACCCCAUGGAAGGCGUCAGAGACUUAAGGCUCUGCUAAGAGCAGCCAACCUCUCCUGUGGGAUCCAGUUUGAUUCUUCAGGUGCAGCUUAUGAGGGCUGCAGGAGGUGUCUCCUACAGCACAAGAAAAGAACAAGACAAAGAACAUUGCAUUUUGCUAUGGCAGUGCACCUGCUUUAGCUAUUAUUGGUUUAAGCCAGGUCACACUAAACUUGGUACACAGCAGGCUUUGCACAAGUGCACACAAAAUCAAUUUGCUGAAACCUGGACAACUUUGUAAGACAUCCAGACAAACAAAACUCAGACACACAAAAUUAAUAGUUAGUAACUGCUUCAGCAGUCUUAGGCCUUUUGAAAAUGUAGUAUUACUUGCAGAUGAAAUCUCUAGUGCUUCUAGUCUAUCUUCAAUACAAAACAGGAUGAAGACAUAUUUUGGAAAUAAUUUUCAAAGUGAGAUGCUAGUCUUUCAGCCUUCACUGACCUGAAAUUUUUUAUUUACUAAAAAAUUGUCCUUCCUUUUUAACUUUUUAAUGUGGUACCAGUCAUGAUGAUUCUUAUGAAACAAACGAACCUUCUCCAUCUGUAUCUACUCUGUAGAGUCCGAAUGGGACCUCAACAGUGGCUGAAACAAAAUCUCAUUUAAAAAAAAUAUUCCCAUGGAAAAGUUCCAAUUUUGAUGCAAUAUUUCCUGCAAGAAAGCAAAAACCAAACCUAUCAUUCAAAGGUUUGACCCAAUGUCUGCUCUUCAAGAGGGAGAAGGGUAGUGGAGAGGAAGCAAGUGAGUGUGGGUUUGGGAGAAAAGAAAUCCUACCAAUAAAUGGGGGUAAUGAAAGCAGAGGGAAGAAAGUACAAAUUCCCAGGCAUUCCAGACAUAUCUGGUAUCCUUUACAUCCUGCACUCUGCACUUCAGUUGUACAUAUUUCAGUGUUCCACUGCAGAGGCAGCUGCAUUUCAGUUGGGAGUUCCUGUAUGAAGAGUUUUGUAUAGUUGUUACAGGAUCUUAUGAGAUGAAAAGGAGCUGACCACGGCAAAGAAAGUAAAAUAGAACAUGCAAUCUUUUAACUAUGCUAGAAACCACUUAUGCCACAGAGAAACGGGAGCCAGGAAGCAAAAACUUCCAGAAGAAAUUAGAAAUAAAAGGGAAAAACCAGAAAAAAUCACUGGUAGCUGGGAAAAGACUGCAGGCUCAUUACCACAUCCGAGAUGUUGAAAAACAGCCUCUGGUUUUCUGUAGCUCUUCAUCUGUUUUUCUGUUCAUUUUUGUCCUUCUCUUUAACCUUGCUGGGUAAAACACAUCUCCAAGGACAAAUAAAAAUUAUUUUCUUGCCAGUGCUGCUGACUUUGCAACCUGUCAGAAAACUGACUAAACUUGAAGCUCCUUCAGUCAGUCACUUUAAAAUAUAGUCAGCAUUGUGUUUAAAGAAAAAAAUGAACUGUAUGAAUUCAACACCAGGGUUACUCUGCUGUAUGUUACAGUAUUCUCCCAUGCUCUGGGAGAAAUGGCACAACGAGCUGAUGAGUGGUGUUACAAAGGAAGUGCUGCAAAAUAUUAGCCUUGGCUCUUGCAGUGUAGUGAAGAUGCUUUAUUUGUUUCAAUUAAACAGGUAUUUUAUUAAAGAAUUCUUAGAUCCAAAAAAUUGGCCAGGGAACCAGAAAAGAAGACCAUUUAGAACCCAGGCUCAGGAAAUGUGAAUUAAUUUUGCUAGGGUCACAUUUAACCUUGCCAAGGAAAAAUGGCUGAAUUGUAACAUUGGAGGGGUUGUAAUCUGCAGUGGGUGCUUCUGUCAUCAAUUACAUUAAUCUUUCCUGGAAGCAUUUACUCCUUUUACCUGCACCAUAGGUGGGUGGGAACUAUAAUUUCUUUUAGGAACUUUUCUGCCUCAGCUUCCUCACUGCUCCUCAUAGUUACAUUUAGAGCCCAAACAGUCUGGAGGGAUUUAUGGAUGGCAGCUCCACCUACCAUCCACUGUCUCUGGCAAACGCUGAUUUCAGACUGUGGUGAGGACAAAACAGGGGUAACUUUUCAAAAUCAGCUUAAUCUUGCUCAGGGUCACAACAAAAAAAGUGAAAUUAUGACUGGUCCAUUAUCCAUGGUCUGCACUGUGUGCCUGCCUGGCCCACACAAUUCAUCCCUUCUGAUAUUCUAACAAGUGGCAGAUUUUGGCUCAUGAGCCAAGUGCAGAGGUGCAUUAAAUGUGAGGUUGAGUGCCUUUUUUAGGCUGUAUAUGUGUGUGGGGGGGUGUCUUUGUGAAGUAGCUGGUUCAGAUCCCUGGGCAAGAAUAAUUGAAGGAAAAACAUGGAGAGAGUCAGCUAUAGGAACAAGGUGAACUCUAGAGCAAGAGAUGUAAUUUUUCAAUCAAGCUUUUAAUGAAAAGAUCAUAAAAUAACAGUUUCUCAUCACUGUACAUUAAGACUGCAAAUUUCUGAAUGCUGAGAUCAUAUUAUAAUUUCUGUAUCUUUUUAUAUGACACUUGAGUUGAAGCCACAACUAUUGUGGCUCUGACCUGAAUUCAAGCUCUUGAAGGAAAUGAACAGAACAUUGCAGCAGGAAUGUUGGCCUUUCCCUUGACCUUCCCUCCUUUCCCCCUCCCCAGGAAACAUCCAGGGCUUCCAGACUGACUGAUAAUUAAGGCUUAAAAUGAAAAAAACCCAACCAAACAAAAAACAGAAACCAAAAGGGGUGAUGCAACAUCCCUUUUCCAGUUGUAUCGAAAAUAUUAAAAUAAAAUGGGGGAAAAUAUCCAGCCAGCCAGAACAAGAUCCUCUCCUCAUAGAAAAGUUAUCCCCAGCCAGUCAAAAGUCCUGUGGAAGGUCAGAGGAACAGCUGUACUGAGAGUGCUUCGAUUGGUAACUUGUGACAGAGGAAGCCUAAACCAGUCCCACUCCUCAGGGAAAGCAGCGCUAGGAAGCGGGUCCCUAAUGCCAACAAAUGCCACAUCCAGUGUGGUGGCUCAGACCUGCCCCACCACAUGGCACAGCUCUGUUCCAAAAACACUGAUCCCCUGAUCCCUGUGUCCAACACUGGCCUUCAAAAUGCUCAGGAAAAUUAGGGAAGGGAGGAAAGGAGAUGGUGGCAAUAGGAGACAAUGGAACAAAAAAGCAUUUCUCUCUCUAAACUUAUGUUUCAGGAUCUUUGAGUUGUUAGUUAAAACAAGGAAAGCAGAAUAAACAGCAGUUUUGAUGUGGCAGAAAGAUGAACUAGGGAUGAAAGAAAGGAGUCUCCCUGACUUGGAGGACCAGCUAGGAACCUUACAGCAGAGCUGGAACUGCCUCACAUGGGUUCCCAAAUAUUUUCCUUUUGCAAGGAAAGCAGCAUAUUUAGUGAGUCUAACAGGAAAUAAUCAAAGGUGAAAUUUCUUACCCUAUUCUGAAAAAAUGCAAAAUAUGAGGAGGGGAAAGGGGCUGAGAAAGAGCUUUUCCUUUUGCCUGCUUGUCUCCUGCACUAAAAUCAGGAUCAUAAAGUACCAUGGGACUUAAAACAUUGCAAAAGGCUACUUUCAGCUAUUGAAAGCAACCCCUAAAUUUUCUUUUUCAAGAAUAUGGCCAGUUCUGGAGUGCAAGAAUAAGCUUAUAAGAAUAAAGGAUUUUACAGUAAAUGGAGACUUUACUGAUGUUCAGCAAAUAAUUAUUUAAACAAAAACUAAGGAAAAAAUGCCGUAAGUCUCUUUAAUUAUUCCAGACUUACAGCUCUGGGUUCAUUUAGAUUUUAAACUCUUGCUUAAACAAAUGUUUAUCCAAACGUGCCAUCUCAAUGAUGAGCAUUUCUGCAGUCUGGGGACAGCUCAAUGUUUGUUACCUAGAGCUUCUUAAACCCAAUUAAAACGUAGGGAGGUUUUGUUUCUUUGUUUUUUAUUUGCUUUUCCCUUAACUCCAGUACUGCUGAUUGGAAAGGUUUCAGAAUUUGGCAAAUAUCCAGAAAUCAGCAAACAUCCUUUCUUCGUGCUAAUUGGUAAGGCUGUAGUAGGUGCUGACUCCACCAGCACUGGAACAAGAGGCUUUGGAAAGCACAGCUUCUCCCAGGGGCUCGAGCCCCCUGUGCUGUGGCCAAGCUGCUGCUUCAGUAUGGUCUGCAAGGCCCACCGUGAGCUGGCACAGAGGC
Molecule: long non-coding RNA, 4590 nt
Organism: Passer domesticus (house sparrow)
Lineage: Eukaryota; Metazoa; Chordata; Aves; Passeriformes; Passeridae
Exons: 3
Source: RefSeq, a predicted model, not a curated record